GUUUUUGUAGUUGAAUACAACAAUGGUUUUUCAGACCAUGAGUCUUGGUUGAAGUCCAGGCAAGAAUU
This 68-nucleotide transfer RNA is filed under the name Manouria impressa. Its description in RNAcentral is "tRNA-Glu". It matches the Rfam family "tRNA". Rfam says of the family: Transfer RNA (tRNA) molecules are approximately 80 nucleotides in length. Their secondary structure includes four short double-helical elements and three loops (D, anti-codon, and T loops). Lineage: Eukaryota; Metazoa; Chordata; Testudines; Testudinidae. The record is from RNAcentral. RNAcentral also lists the same sequence under 1 other name.